Long non-coding RNA from Peromyscus leucopus (white-footed mouse), 1054 nucleotides. RefSeq lists it as uncharacterized. Lineage: Eukaryota; Metazoa; Chordata; Mammalia; Rodentia; Cricetidae. The transcript has 2 exons. The record is from RefSeq and is a predicted model, not a curated record.
GGGGCAUGUGGAGGAGGAGGAGGGGCUGGGGCCUUCUUGUGCAGAUAACCAGACAACAAAAGGGGAAGCUGAAGGGCCAGCUCCCAAGUGCUCAGGUCACCCCGCUGGCCUGCAGAUUUGCCGGUGGCCCCCAGCUGGUGGCCCCCAGAGUCUGUGGUUCAGACUCAAAGAUUCUUGGUCACGGAGUCCAAGGACUCAAAGAUGGGGUUCUGGAGAAAGCCCAUCCUCAGCACCCUCGGGGCAGGCUGUCAACCCCUGCUCCCACCUAUCCAAGCAGAGCCACUGUACGGCAGACUUGCAGGCCCAGUACCAGACAGCCUCAAAUGCCCCGCUCACCCAGCCAAGCCUCUGCAGACACUGCCUGCCAGCUCCCCCUCCUGCCAGCACGGGGUGGCAGUGGCCACACCAAGGCUGUCCCUUUAAAUCAUUACCACCCCUGACGGUGUGGACAAACCAAGGGCCCUGCCCCCCAGGCAGCAGCUUGCCACCUCCCCACCCCACCCCCCCAGUCCCCAGAAAUGUUAAGGGCCAUUUAAAGGGACAUCAGAGAGGCAGCCUGGUCUCUAACAAAUCCCUACCCCUCCUCACACACUCACAGACCCUGUCUCCAGCAGCACAUAGCUCCCUGCCUCUCCAGAGGGCCCCCCAAAUUCCGGUUUUCCCUCACCCCUAGAGACUGCUACAAGGAGAAGGGGGCAAGGCGGGGGGGGGGAGCCAUUAAAGGGUAAGGACUCCCUCCUCCCUUAGAGCCCCUGGAGACAGGUCGGAAGAAGCCAGCCCGAGAAACAGCGAGACAGAACCCCAAAAGAUUAAGGACUGGAAGCUCUGAGAGGUGUUGACCCGUCCAAGUCCCCUUUGUUGGCCGAGCUGGGAUUAGAAUCCUGGUUUGAGCUGACAGUCCAAGUUCCAAGGCAUAUACGACCGGAGACACCAAUACCAUCCAUCACCAACUCCAAGAAGGGCAGCCAGAGAGACCACUGAAUUCCUCUCUCCAAAGUGGGCAAUGCCAGAAGCUGAUCCACCUACCUACAAAGAUAAAGACCUUGACUUUUCA